Molecule: ribosomal RNA, 154 nt
Filed under: Sarcodon aff. imbricatus VPC-2007
Lineage: Eukaryota; Fungi; Basidiomycota; Agaricomycetes; Thelephorales; Thelephoraceae
Description: 5.8S ribosomal RNA
Rfam family: 5.8S ribosomal RNA
About the family: 5.8S ribosomal RNA (5.8S rRNA) is a component of the large subunit of the eukaryotic ribosome.
Source: RNAcentral
ACUUUCAGCAACGGANCNCNNGGCNCNCGCANCGAUGAAGAACGCAGCGAAAUGCGAUAAGUAAUGUGAAUUGCAGAAUUCAGUGAAUCAUCGAAUCUUUGAACGCACCUUGCGCUCCUUGGUAUUCCGAGGAGCAUGCCUGUUUGAGUGUCAU